Non-coding RNA from Cordylochernes scorpioides, 92 nucleotides. Lineage: Eukaryota; Metazoa; Arthropoda; Arachnida; Pseudoscorpiones; Chernetidae. The record is from the annotation of a GenBank genome assembly.
CUGGGAUGGAUUAUGGCAGUUCUGCCUCUGCUACCGUUGCCGAUCUGCGCUGCGGUGGCGAUGUGCAAGGCUCGCGGUAGCUUCAUGCAGAG